CAGGUUGUAGUUCAGUGGUAGAACACUUGCCUAGCAUGUGUGAGACCCUGGGUUCAAUUCCCAGUGUCAUAC
Molecule: transfer RNA, 72 nt
Filed under: Cricetulus griseus (Chinese hamster)
Lineage: Eukaryota; Metazoa; Chordata; Mammalia; Rodentia; Cricetidae
Rfam family: tRNA
About the family: Transfer RNA (tRNA) molecules are approximately 80 nucleotides in length. Their secondary structure includes four short double-helical elements and three loops (D, anti-codon, and T loops).
Source: Rfam by way of RNAcentral